GCCAGGCAUGGUGACAAGUGCCUGUAGUCUCAGCUACUCAGGAGGCUGAAGUGGGAGAAUCACUUGAGCUCCGUAGUUCUGGACUGUAGUGCACUAUGUGGAUUGGAUGUCCACACUAAGUUCAGCAUCAAUAUGGUGACCUCCCAAGAGAGGCAGACACCAAAUUGCCUAAGGAGAGGUGAACUGGUCCAGGUUGGAAACAGAGCAGGUCAGAACUCCCGGUGCUGAUCAGUGGGAUCACACCUUUGAAUAGUCCCUGUAUUCCAGCCUGGGUAACACAGCAAGAUUCCAUCUCU
RNAcentral lists this signal recognition particle RNA (296 nucleotides) under Prolemur simus (greater bamboo lemur). Its description in RNAcentral is "Metazoan signal recognition particle RNA (ENSPSMG00000005313.1)". It matches the Rfam family "Metazoan signal recognition particle RNA". From Rfam's summary of the family: The signal recognition particle (SRP) is a universally conserved ribonucleoprotein. It is involved in the co-translational targeting of proteins to membranes. The record is from RNAcentral. Lineage: Eukaryota; Metazoa; Chordata; Mammalia; Primates; Lemuridae.